This 253-nucleotide ribosomal RNA is filed under the name uncultured bacterium. RNAcentral's name for it is "partial 16S ribosomal RNA". It matches the Rfam family "Bacterial small subunit ribosomal RNA", at positions 524 to 776 of the family's 1533-position model. The record is from RNAcentral.
UACGGAGGGUGCAAGCGUUAUCCGGAUUUACUGGGUUUAAAGGGUGCGUAGGUGGGCAGGUAAGUCAGUGGUGAAAUCUUCAAGCUUAACUUGGGAACUGCCAUUGAUACUAUUUGUCUUGAAUUAUCUGGAGGUAAGCGGAAUAUGUCAUGUAGCGGUGAAAUGCUUAGAUAUGACAUAGAACACCCAUUGCGAAGGCAGCUUACUACGGAUAUAUUGACACUGAGGCACGAAAGCGUGGGGAUCAAACAGG